GAGAAUCUGGGUGGAUUGCUUAUCUGUCAGAUUUGAAGAAUUACCAGAAGAUCGCAUUCCGACGGCAACCGCGUCGGAAUCAGUACCCGACCCCCUGGGAGGCAGACGCAUACCAUGGGAGAGAUCAGGUUUAGUUCGAACAGCAAAGUUGGAAGAAACCGGGGGAAGGUUAAGACCCCCCUUGUCUCGACCGAUGAUCGGCGAACUGGUGGCCAUCCGCCGGAAGGGUG
This 230-nucleotide long non-coding RNA is filed under the name Salvia miltiorrhiza (redroot sage). RNAcentral's name for it is "long non-coding RNA (SMIL_LNC011669)". The record is from RNAcentral. Lineage: Eukaryota; Viridiplantae; Streptophyta; Magnoliopsida; Lamiales; Lamiaceae.